Molecule: long non-coding RNA, 1956 nt
Organism: Hevea brasiliensis (rubber tree)
Lineage: Eukaryota; Viridiplantae; Streptophyta; Magnoliopsida; Malpighiales; Euphorbiaceae
Exons: 3
Source: RefSeq, a predicted model, not a curated record
GGGAGGGCCACCAACUUGGCCACGUUCAACUUUUCUUAGCCAUCGAUCUUUCCGCUUGUUAUUAAUCGUGUGCGUCCAUUCUACACACCCCACUAUAUAGUAAUAGGAUGGCGCCCCUCUUCUCUUCGUUAUCUACUUCCUAUUCUGCUCAUCUCUUUGAAUCAGAUCUCGUCUUCAUGGAUUCUCUUCAAGGUCCAUGGUUUCUGCUGUCGUGUAGAUCUCUCUUUGAUCUACAUACUGAUGGUAGUUUCAUGGGUAAUCUGAAUUGGGUCGUUUGAAUCUAUGGUUUGACAAGUAGCAGAUUUGUCAUGGUUCUGUUGCCUGCUGCUUCAAAUUUUCCCUGCAUGGAUCCUUUUAAGGGUUUUGUGGCGUUUGUCAAAAAAGGAUGACCAUGGGUUCUAUUCAGCUUGCAGUUUAUUUCCUCCUGGUGGUGUUGAUUUAUUUGGCUGGAACUUCUAUAUGCAUGCGUGUACUUGAUCACUGGUUCUGAUCUUUGCUGGGUAGCCUUUAUAUCAUGCAAUUAUAUGAGGCUAAGAAGACAUGUAAUUCAUUGAUUGAUGUGGAUAGCAGGAGAUGGGUUUUGUGACAUAUGGAUGUAUAAGAUAUAUCAGGACGAAAAGCCCAGUAUUGUUUGAUUCAUGGGGGGCUUGAAGUCCUCGGUUAAUAUCUUUGUCAUCCGACCUUUGCCAUGACAGGUGCGCUUGCAUGGCAGGUCACCAAAAUUCUUAAUAAAAUUUUUGAUUUCGUGUUUUUUGAGGGGAGAUCGCACGGGAAUUGCCCGGGUUCUCCUCUCUCUGGUGUGAUUUGUUCCGCUUUCUUAUUUUAUUUCUCCUCCAAAAUUCCAAUCCGUAACUGAUACCAGAGCUCUCUUGAAGCGCGUCAACAAUUUACAACUUGAAGGCUUUUGCUCUCAAGGUAAUCUCUAACUGAUCUCCCGUAUUCGAAUUUGUUCAAAAGGCCUUCCUGAAUUAUAUUGCUCAAAUCUACAUUUGCAACAUGCUUGCUAGCUAUUCGGGGCAAUGCUUCUCUUUGAUUGCUUUAAUUUUCUAAAUGGGUAUAACUAAAUAAUAUUUUGGAUGUUUGAAAUUGGCAGUUUUCAUAGAUUGUGGAGUUCUUCGAAACCCGGGUUACCUUAUCAAGGUAAAAGAAAUUGCGUUUAUGAUUUGGAGAAAAUGGUAUAAAAUUUGUCUUUUCAAAGCUAAACAAAAGAAAUCACUGCCUAUGUUGAUUCAUGAGUUGCCCUGAUCCUGCAAAUUAACAAAUUCCAAUUAUUUAAUGAUCUUGCAAGCAUGUAUCUGCAGUUAAUAUUUAUUUUUCUUUUUUCCCCGAUGCCAAUGCAAAUAAUCAUUUUGUUUCGUCCAAGCAUAUGCCGAUCAAACAAUAUUUUGUUGUUAUUGUCUCUCAAUCAUCAAAUCAGUUAACAGCUAGUAAUAGUACUGAAAAUUUGCUGAAUGUUUAUAAUUUGCUGGAUCAGUUACUGAAAUAGUUAUAUAACAAAGCAACUUUAUGUUGCUGUGCGUUAGCCCAAAUUCUCUAAUGAUGUAGUUUACCUUUUGAGAGUUUUAGGAACUAGUUUACAGUUUUUGCAGUUGUAAGUUGAUUGUAUUUUACUAAAAUAAUAAAUGUAUUGUGUAUGCAAUUGUGCCUAUUUAUCUGUUCUUUUUGUUGGGAUCGGAAAUCGUUUGGCGCAUGGAAGGCUUGCUUCAUAGUCUGGUCAUUUGCUUGUACAUGGAGGAUGAUUGCUAGUGGCUUCAUAAUGAUUUCUUGGAGGAAAAGUGUAUGCUAAGGAGGGAUUUCAGCUCUGCUGCGGCCUCUGAGGUGAUAAAAUCAAGUUUUAUGAUAUUCUUCGCACUUCUCAACCAGAUAGUGAAUGUUUACUAUUUACGAGUUUAAUUUUUCAUAUAUGAUGUUUAUAUGAAGUAUGGUAUUUGAUCAGUAAUUUAGAUUUUUUUUAUU